CUUGGUCAUUUAGAGGAAGUAAAAGUCGUAACAAGGUUUCCGUAGGUGAACCUGCGGAAGGAUCAUUAAAGAAUGCCCCGUUUUUUGAAAUGGGUUCUGUUCCCAAACCGUGUAUACAUACUUUUGUUGCUUUGGCAGGCCGCCUUCGGGCGUCGGCUCACGCUGACAGCGCCUGCCAGAGGACCCAAACUCGUUUGUUUAGUGAUGUCUGAGUACUAUAUAAUAGUUAAAACUUUCAACAACGGAUCUCUUGGUUCUGGCAUCGAUGAAGAACGCAGCGAAAUGCGAUAAGUAAUGUGAAUUGCAGAAUUCAGUGAAUCAUCGAAUCUUUGAACGCACAUUGCGCCCCUUGGUAUUCCGAGGGGCAUGCCUGUUCGAGCGUCAUUAUGACCACUCAAGCCUAGCUUGGUAUUGGGGUUCGCGGUCCCGCGGCCCUUAAAAUCAGUGGCGGUGCCAUCUGGCUCUAAGCGUAGUAAUUUAUCUCGCUAUUGGGUCCGGUGGUUGCUUGCCAACAACCCCUAACUUUUAAGGUUGACCUCGGAUCAGGUAGGGAUACCCGCUGAACUUAAGCAUAUCAAUAAGCGGAGGA
Molecule: small RNA, 589 nt
Filed under: uncultured Rhizoscyphus
Lineage: Eukaryota; Fungi; Ascomycota; Leotiomycetes; Helotiales; Helotiaceae
Description: eukaryotic LSU rRNA
Rfam family: 5.8S ribosomal RNA (bases 231-384)
Source: RNAcentral